This 104-nucleotide small nuclear RNA is filed under the name Propithecus coquereli (Coquerel's sifaka). The record is from RNAcentral. Lineage: Eukaryota; Metazoa; Chordata; Mammalia; Primates; Indriidae.
GUGCUCACUUUGGCACCACAUAUACUAAAAUUGGAACGAUACAGAGAUUAGCAUGGCCCCUGCACAAGGAUGACACACAAAUUUGUGAAAAUUAAGAAAAAUAA